GGGGGUGUGGCUUAGUGGUUAGAACAGUGGACUACAAUUCCGGAGGGCUGGGUCCUAGUCCCAGCUUUGCCA
Molecule: transfer RNA, 72 nt
Filed under: Chelonia mydas (Green sea turtle)
Lineage: Eukaryota; Metazoa; Chordata; Testudines; Cheloniidae
Rfam family: tRNA
About the family: Transfer RNA (tRNA) molecules are approximately 80 nucleotides in length.
Source: Rfam by way of RNAcentral